Molecule: long non-coding RNA, 1715 nt
Filed under: Homo sapiens (human)
Lineage: Eukaryota; Metazoa; Chordata; Mammalia; Primates; Hominidae
Description: HSALNT0394085
Source: RNAcentral
GGAACUUCCUGUCCCUGAACAUCAGACUCCAGAUUCUUCAGCCUUUGCACUCUUGGACUUACACCAGUGGUUUGCCAGGGGCUCUUGAGCCUUUGGCCACAGACGGAAGACCACACAGUUGGCUUCCCUAAUUUUGAGGCUGUGGGACUCAGACUGAGCCACUACUGGCUUCCUUGCUCCUCAGCCUGCAAAUGACCUAUUGUGGGAUUUCUUUACCUUGUGAUCCUAGUCUCUCUCUAUCUGCUGAGCUGCCUGAAGCUAGACAUAAACACCUCUGUGGCCACUACCACUGAGACUGCACUGGGUCAGAACUGAAGCCAACACAGCACUUGGUCUCACCCAAAGCCCAGUGUAACCACUACCUGGCUACUGCUUCUGUUUGCUCAAGGCCCUAGGACUCUAUAAUCAGCAGGCAGAGGAGCCUUUCCUCGUGGCCACCACCACCAGAGACUCAAGAGAGGUACUACCAGGCUAUCACAGAUAUUCACUUAAAGACCACAAGGGCUCUUCAGUCAGCCUGUGGUGAAGCCAUCAGGCCUGCGACUCACCCUUCAGGGCAAUGGGUUCCCCUUUGGCCCAGAACAUGUUGAGAAAUGCCACCCAAGAGCCAAGGCCUAGAAUCAGGGAAGUCAAUAGCCCUCUUUGUGCUCUACCCAAUGUGGCCAAGCUGGUGCCUGAAGCCAGCAUAUCUCAGAGACUCACCCAAGGCCCAUGACUAACUAUGUAGGUAUUGCUGCUGGUUCUUCAAGGCCCAAGGGCAUUUUUGUCAGCAGGUGAUUAAUCCUGCCAGACUGGCUUCUUUCCUUAAGGUAGCAAGUUCUCAUCUGGUCUAGGGUAUGUCUAGAUAUGUUGUUCAGGAGCUAGGGCCUGGAAUGGGGGACUCAUGACUCUUCCCAGUGCCCUAUCCUAAUAUGACUGACCUGGUAACCAAGAUGCAAGACAAAGUCCCCCUUACUCUUCUUUCCCUCCUCCUCUCCUCAAGUAAAAUAAAGGAGUCAUUUUUGUUGCUGCAAGCUGUGCUGCCUGGGUUUGUCGAGGGAGAGGCACAAGCAUUCCCUUAGUCACCCUGGCUGAUGUCCCAUAUCCACUAGCUCUGAGCCCAGUAUGCUGCUAGGACUUUUUAGAAAUUGCAAGUCCUUGUAGCCUAGACUGCAUUUCAAGCGUAUUUAGGACCCCAGAGCCCCUUAGCCCUCAUGGGCAAGGCUUCCCAAAACUCAAAUUCAACCACUGGGAUGGCUAACUCCCCUCUGGCUAAAGCUGGUCUAAACGAUCCCCCCUCCAUGUGUAGGCAUCAGCUGAGUUUAGCCAUGUUUUCCUUUCUGCUGUGACAGAGCAGCACUUCAUUCACCACACUCUCCCUCACCCAAACACAUAGAUUCUCCUUGCCACAUGGCCACUGUUGGGAGUAUGGAAGAAGGGUGGCAUCAGUAAUUUAAGGCUGUUUUCCCUACCCUCUUCAGUGCCUCUUUUAGUGAUAUGAAGUUAAAACCAGGUAUUGUGAUACCUCACAUAAUUUUUCAUUCUUGUGUAUGUGCUUUUUUGUGUAGAUGUUAUAUUGGUGUUCCUAUGGGAGGGAUGAUCAAUGAAGGCUUCUAUUAGGCCAUCUUGCUCUGUCCUCUCCAUCUAGAUAUGUUUAGAUACACAGAUAUUUAACAUUGUGUUAAAAUUGCAUACACUAUAAACUCCACUUAAAACUGAUUAAAGUCUCAUUCUUG